RNAcentral lists this ribosomal RNA (537 nucleotides) under uncultured bacterium. Its description in RNAcentral is "bacterial SSU rRNA". It matches the Rfam family "Bacterial small subunit ribosomal RNA", at positions 355 to 896 of the family's 1533-position model. The record is from RNAcentral.
UGGGGAAUCUUGCACAAUGGGCGAAAGCCUGAUGCAGCGACGCCGCGUGGGGGAUGAAGCUUCUCGGAGUGUAAACCCCUUUCGACCCGGACGAAUGCCCCGCAAGGGGACUGACGGUACGGGUAUAAGAAGCCCCGGCUAACUACGUGCCAGCAGCCGCGGUAAGACGUAGGGGGCCAGCGUUGCUCGGAAUUACUGGGCGUAAAGGGUCCGUAGGCGGUGUGGCAAGUCGGUAGUGAAAUCUCUGGGCUUAACUCAGAGGCUGCUGCCGAAACUGCUGUGCUCGAGUGCGAGAGAGGCGAGUGGAAUUGCAGGUGUAGCGGUGAAAUGCGUAGAUAUCUGCAGGAACAUCCGAGGCGAAAGCGGCUCGCUGGAUCGCAACUGACGCUGAGGGACGAAAGCUAGGGGAGCAAACAGGAUUAGAUACCCUGGUAGUCCUAGCCCUAAACGAUCAGGACUGGGCGUGGGCCCUGUACGGGGCUCGUGCCGGAGCUAACGCGUUAAGUCCUGCGCCUGGGGAGUACGGUCGCAAGGCUG